UACGAAGGGGGCUAGCGUUGCUCGGAAUUACUGGGCGUAAAGGGCGCGUAGGCGGCUAGUUCAGUUGGGGGUGAAAGCCCGGGGCUCAACCUCGGAACUGCCUUCAAUACUGGCUAUCUUGAGUACGGGAGAGGUGUGUGGAACUCCGAGUGUAGAGGUGAAAUUCGUAGAUAUUCGGAAGAACACCAGUGGCGAAGGCGACACACUGGCCCGUUACUGACGCUGAGGCGCGAAAGCGUGGGGAGCAAACAGG
Molecule: ribosomal RNA, 253 nt
Filed under: uncultured bacterium
Lineage: Bacteria
Description: partial 16S ribosomal RNA
Rfam family: Bacterial small subunit ribosomal RNA
Source: RNAcentral